CAACGUAUCCACGUACAAACCAAAACCUGUGAACUUGUUUCCCUUUGGAGCGGCAAUUACAAACUGAAUCAGGACCCAAGUGAAUCUGUUUCCACUUCAUUGUUGAAACAGGGACUUGAUUCGGGCUGCUCUGAAGUGGUUGUCUUUGUUCAUUCACUUAAACCAAACAUUAUAAACCCAUUGAACCUUAUUCAUUCUUGAACUUAACUGGAAAGCUACAAGGCUUUCUAAAUCUUUUUAAACAAAAAGAA
This 251-nucleotide unclassified non-coding RNA is filed under the name soil metagenome. RNAcentral's name for it is "partial internal transcribed spacer 1". The record is from RNAcentral.